RNAcentral lists this ribosomal RNA (301 nucleotides) under uncultured bacterium. RNAcentral's name for it is "partial 16S ribosomal RNA". It matches the Rfam family "Bacterial small subunit ribosomal RNA", at positions 509 to 807 of the family's 1533-position model. The record is from RNAcentral.
CAGCAGCCGCGGGAAUACGGAGGGUGCAAGCGUUGUCCGGAUUUAUUGGGUUUAAAGGGUGCGUAGGCGGCUAUUUAAGUCAGCGGUGAAAGACUCCGGCUCAACCGGAGCAGUGCCAUUGAUACUGGAUAGCUUGAGUGUUGGAGGGGUACAUGGAAUUGAUGGUGUAGCGGUGAAAUGCAUAGAUACCAUCAGGAACACCGAUAGCGAAGGCAUUGUACUGGCCAACAACUGACGCUGAGGCACGAAAGCAUGGGGAGCGAACAGGAUUAGAUACCCGAGUAGUCCCUGUCUCUUAUAC